UCAUAACACAUUCUAACCUAGUGACUAAACCGUUUGGAUGAGCUUGUUUUGCCAAUUCUAGUCAAAACCGACCACUUCUCAUCGGAUCAAACCCUCGCGUAGUUCGUUACUAAUACUCACCACCGCGUUCCGACGGGCUACGGCGGCGCCCACCGUCCUCGAAGGCAGUCUGACGGUCCGGCCACCCUAUCUCAUCAUCUCUGACCAUUCAAUUUGGAGAAUCUGGCGAAAUAAGUGAUUGAUUUUGUCGAAUUUGCUACUUUUACAUAUUAUUAAUGUUGCAUUAAACGGUUUCGAUCACAAUUGAUACCCCGAAAUAGAAAUGUCUGAUCACAUACCUUUCGAGAUUCAAGUGGAAAUCAUCAAAAGGCUUCCUAUAAGAUCAUUGAUUCGGGUCAGAUCUGUUUCAAAAGCAUGGAAAUGUGUUAUCGAGUCUUCUGAUUUCAUUGCUGAGUACACCGUCCAUAACCAUGAUCAACCGCAGCAUUUGCUUAUAAAGUACAACAAUGUGUACGGUGAGGAAACAUAUGAUUCGAUUGUAGAGGAUGAUACGUUCCCUCAAAACAAGGUUUCUCUUGCUGUUCCUUUGUCGGUUGACCUACUUUGGAAUUCAUAUGUCGUCGGUGCCUCUUGUGGAUUGGUUUGCUUGUUCGGUUUUUAUCGGCAUGACGAUGAUGCUGAAUAUCCUCCUCGAGAGGCGACGGCUGUUCUUUGGAAUCCUUCGAUUAGAAAAUCAGUUGCUAUCCCUGUACCUGAUGUGGAUGGAUACGAUGAAGCGACUUUUGGCUUUGGGGUUUGCCCUGCAACUAGUGACCCUAAGAUUGUAAAGAUCACCGAAAGGAAGAUGAAAGAUGUAGCUUGUAGCAGCCGUUGGCAGGUUAAGGUUUUUAGUUUAAGCUCUGGGGUUUGGAGAAACUCAUUUGGUAAUCUGUCUGAUAGCUUAGCUGAUUUCAUGGGGCCUCGCUCCCAGGUAACCAUACGUGGUUUUCAUUACUGGUUUGGUGUUGGAGACGCCAUUGGUGGUGAUACUGGAUUUUGUUUUCUUAUUUCAUUUGAUUUGACAAGUGAAGAAUUUAGAGAGAUAUACCUCCCUAGUGAGUUAGCAUUCCAUGAUUCAACGGGGUUGCAUGUAUUCAACCUUUGUGAUUCUCUUGCCGUGCUUCAGGAGUGGUUAAUGGACGAUAUAAUUGAAGUGUGGAUGAUGGAAAAUGGUGAUUCAAAAUCGUUUACAAAGGUUUUCACCAUUGACAAACCAUCAUAUUGUUUAAGUCGGCCGUUGGAAUUUAGGUGGAACGGUGAACUUAUGAUGAGAAUGGAAAAUAACGAUGGAGAUUUUGAAGUGCUUAUAGAUUAUGACCCCUUCUCAGAACACAUCAAUGAUCUUGGGAUUGAAAGCCAAUGUCACACAUUAGCUGUGACCUCGUACACAGAAUCUUUAAUUCUGAUUAAUCAGUUAGAUACAGUAGUUGAUGACGAGGAUGAUGAAGAGGUUAGUGUUGAGCAAGGAAGAAAGGUAUAGAGAUCAAAGAGCAAUUACUUCUUGAUAUUUCAAACAGAUCCCAUUUCGUUAUUUAAAGAUUCUAUGUUGAGGAAGUCCUUGCCCAGAAUACUUGCAUAUGCUUGGAUAUGGAGACCUAAAUAGUUUGAACCAGACAAUGGCAAACUGCCUUUUAGUUGUUUAUGCAACCGGUUAAUGUUUUGUUGUCUUAUAACUUUUUGUUGCAUGGUUCAUGAUUGUUUGAUUCUCAGGUGUUUUUAUCAGGUUGUUAUCAUUAUUAAAAUCUUGUAACAUUGGCAAGUGAUUUAGCAAAGAAUAGUGAAAUCAGAGGUUUAGUUUUGUCCUUCA
Molecule: RNA transcript, 1846 nt
Organism: Helianthus annuus (common sunflower)
Lineage: Eukaryota; Viridiplantae; Streptophyta; Magnoliopsida; Asterales; Asteraceae
Gene name: putative F-box protein At1g32420
Exons: 3
Source: RefSeq, a predicted model, not a curated record